Molecule: ribosomal RNA, 295 nt
Filed under: uncultured bacterium
Lineage: Bacteria
Description: partial 16S ribosomal RNA
Rfam family: Bacterial small subunit ribosomal RNA
Source: RNAcentral
GACGAACGCUGGCGGCGUGCUUAACACAUGCAAGUCGAGCGGUAAGGCCCUUUCGGGGGUACACGAGCGGCGAACGGGUGAGUAACACGUGGGUGACCUGCCCUCAGCUCUGGGAUAAGCCUGGGAAACCGGGUCUAAUACUGGAUAUGACUCCAUGACGCAUGUUGUGGGGUGGAAAGCCUUGUGCGGCUGAGGAUGGGGCCCGCGGCCUAUCAGCUUGUUGGUGGGGUGANGGCCUACCAAGGCGACGACGGGUAGCCGGCCUGAGAGGGCGACCGGCCACACUGGGACUGAG